RNAcentral lists this ribosomal RNA (400 nucleotides) under uncultured bacterium. RNAcentral's name for it is "bacterial SSU rRNA". It matches the Rfam family "Bacterial small subunit ribosomal RNA", at positions 29 to 409 of the family's 1533-position model. The record is from RNAcentral.
AAUGAACGCUGGCGGCGUGCAUAACACAUGCAAGUCGAACGAGAAACUCCGAGCUUGCUCGGGGGAGUAAAGUGGCGCACGGGUGAGUAACGCGUGGGUAACCUGCCCUUGAAUCUGGAAUAACUCGCCGAAAGGCGGACUAAUACCGGAUAUUGUUCCCGAGGCGCAUGUUUUGGGAAUGAAAGGUGACCUCUUCAUGAAAGUUGCCGUUCAGGGAGGGGCUCGCGUACCAUUAGCUAGUUGGUAGGGUAAUAGCCUACCAAGGCGACGAUGGUUAGCUGGUCUGAGAGGAUGAUCAGCCACACUGGAACUGGAACACGGUCCAGACUCCUACGGGAGGCAGCAGUGAGGAAUUUUGCGCAAUAGGGAAACCCUGACGCAGCAACGCCGCGUGAGUGAU